GGUAUUACUGCUCUGUGAAGUAGGAAAAACAACUCCUACUUUGCAUAAUCAAUAAGACCAGAAGGGGUAAUGGAAACCAGAGCGUGCGUCACCUACAGGACUCCAGGUGCAUGGCGCGGUUGUUGACGGGAGUCCGGCACACGCAAAGGGACAGCGAGAAAUAUUUUUGGCCUUGUGGACCUUCCCAUCAAAGGCUUGCAGUGGCCACACGACUGUGCAACUACUCACCUCUGCCCUGGCAGCGGGGAAGCAGCCACGGAGCAGACCUACAGCCAACAGGGAUGCGCUCCCGUCAAACUCCCGUCAAACUUCGCUUACGGACACUCAACGCCAUAGAGGACACGAACACUCCUGCCCGAAGGGAACAAUAAAGCUUUCGCCAUUCAACAGCGCCGGAGACGCCAGAAGGCGGCCAUCUUGAGGCCGGCGCGGAAAGAUCUGAGGGGCUUGGAGUGGUGACCAUUCUGCCCCUUCCUGCCGAGUGGGGGCCUAGAUCUGGACCAGAGGAAUGAAGCUGGCACUCGCUGGGAAACCCAGGAAGGGGACAAAGCUGGGUCUUUAAACCAUGGCGGAGGCAUGUACAGGGAAAAGAGCCACGUGCCUGAGACUCAAAGUAGAAGUGCCAUCAUAGACCACGACGCAGAUGGUUAAGUGACUCCACCGUCCACGGACUUCUGGGGAAAAAAACAUAUUUGGGAUCCAUGAAGAGAGUCUUUUCCUUGUCCCUCCUUAAUAGAGGGCUCUUGUCGAAGCUGUGUCCUGCCUUCUGUGUGGGGUGACCACAGGGCCCUUCCUCCACCACCUCUCACUCAUGUUUUCAUAGAGUUAACAAAAUGACUCCAUUUUUAAAAAUCUGACAAUUUACCUGCUUGUCUCUGAAUGAUUUCCUCUGAAGACAUUGCUUCCUGUGGUUUAGGUUCUGAUCGUCCCUCAUUUCUGAAUUGACUUGAGUGUUGGUCUGCUCUGUCCUGCGGCUCAGGGCAGCGAUACACAACCAGGAGCCAUGUCCAAAACCCUUUGAGCCACAUUCAAGCAACAGAGAGCCUAGGGGUGACUCUGAGGCUAAGCUCACCUGGGCCAUGUCCUCUGUGGACAAUGGCAUCUUCUCAAAACACUGAGCCCCGUCUUUUUAUUAGGAGUUGUACUCCAGCAGAAUUUUGAGAGGCAGAAGUUACAAAGUUUUACAAGGAAAAUACAAACCCAAACCAGCAAGAGCAAAAUAAAUCCAGUUUGUAUAAAAUGUCUGAACCAAGAAGAAUGAUUUUAAUUAUACUAGUUUUUACCAAAGAUGAUUUUUAAAAAAAAAAAUAUUGUAAAAUAAAUUUAAUAUUUCCUGAAA
This is a non-coding RNA of Ictidomys tridecemlineatus (thirteen-lined ground squirrel), 1339 nucleotides long. Lineage: Eukaryota; Metazoa; Chordata; Mammalia; Rodentia; Sciuridae. The record is from RefSeq and is a predicted model, not a curated record.